Molecule: ribosomal RNA, 245 nt
Filed under: uncultured bacterium
Lineage: Bacteria
Description: partial 16S ribosomal RNA
Rfam family: Bacterial small subunit ribosomal RNA
Source: RNAcentral
CGGGGUGAGUAACACGUGGGUAACCUGCCCGGAAGUGGGGGAAUACCUCGGGGAAACUCGAGCUAAUACCGCAUGACAUCUUCGGGACGAAAGUCCUGACGAUCAAAGCGGGGUCGCAAGAUCUCGCGCUACCGGAUGGGCCCGCGCCCGAUUAGCUAGUUGGUGAGGUAACGGCUCACCAAGGCUUCGAUCGGUAACCGGCCUGAGAGGGCGAUCGGUCACACCGGAACUGAGACACGGUCCGG